GACGAACGCUGGCGGCGUGCCUAAUACAUGCAAGUAGAACGCUGAAGGAGGAGCUUGCUUCUCUGGAUGAGUUGCGAACGGGUGAGUAACGCGUAGGUAACCUGCCUGGUAGCGGGGGAUAACUAUUGGAAACGAUAGCUAAUACCGCAUAAGAGUAGAUGUUGCAUGACAUUUGCUUAAAAGGUGCAAUUGCAUCACUACCAGAUGGACCUGCGUUGUAUUAGCUAGUUGGUGGGGUAACGGCUCACCAAGGCGACGAUACAUAGCCGACCUGAGAGGGUGAUCGGCCACACUGGGACUGAGACACGGCCCAGACUCCUACGGGAGGCAGCAGUAGGGAAUCUUCGGCAAUGGACGGAAGUCUGACCGAGCAACGCCGCGUGAGUGAAGAAGGGUUUCGGAUCGUAAAGCUCUGUUGUAAGAGAAGAACGAGUGUGAGAGUGGAAAGUUCACACUGUGACGGUAGCUUACCAGAAAGGGACGGCUAACUACGCG
RNAcentral lists this ribosomal RNA (495 nucleotides) under uncultured bacterium. RNAcentral's name for it is "partial 16S ribosomal RNA". It matches the Rfam family "Bacterial small subunit ribosomal RNA", at positions 28 to 507 of the family's 1533-position model. The record is from RNAcentral.